UCGAGCGGCGCACAGAGGAACUUGUUCCUUGGGUGGCGAGCGGCGGACCCCUUUAUAAUGCCUGGGAAAUUGCCCGGUAGAGGGGGAUAACCAUUGUAAACGAUGGCUAAUACCGCAUGACCUCGCAAGAGCAAAGCAGGGGACCUUCGGGCCUUGCGCUACCGGAUAUGCCCAGGUGGGAUUAGCUAGUUGGUGAGGUAAGGGCUCACCAAGGCGACGAUCCCUAGCUGGUCUGAGAGGAUGAUCAGCCACACUGGAACUGAGACACGGUCCAGACUCCUACGGGAGGCAGCAGUGGGGAAUAUUGCACAAUGGGCGCAAGCCUGAUGCAGCCAUGCCGCGUGUAUGAAGAAGGCCUUCUGGUUGUAAAGUACUUUCAGUACGGAGGAAGGUGGUUAAGUUAAUACCUUAAUCAUUUGACGUUACCUACAGAAGAAGCACCGGCUAACUCCGUGCCAGCAGCCGCGGUAAUACGGAGGGUGCAUGCGUUAAUCGGAAUUACUGGGCGUAAAGCGCAUGCAGGUGGUUUGUU
Molecule: ribosomal RNA, 532 nt
Filed under: uncultured bacterium
Lineage: Bacteria
Description: bacterial SSU rRNA
Rfam family: Bacterial small subunit ribosomal RNA
Source: RNAcentral